Pelobates cultripes (western spadefoot toad) is the source of this 377-nucleotide non-coding RNA. The record is from the annotation of a GenBank genome assembly. NCBI's taxonomy places the organism in Eukaryota, Metazoa, Chordata, Amphibia, Anura, Pelobatidae.
GCAUGCGGGCGCUUAACGUUCCCCAUGAGAUGUAUCUCUAUGAGUAGAUGCUUAAUAGCGCAGCGUGACAUUGAUCAGCCAAAGAGGUGGAGGAUGGACGGGACCAGUUACAAGGAGACCUUGGAGAAUUCUUGUAAUUGCCCUAUUUAUAGUUGUGAAAAAAGUAACCUCGUCACGGGUGUUUGGAGGGGCCUGCCAGCUAGCCUCUUGCCAAAAGACUACGGGUCAAGUCAACGGCUGUAAAGACCUAUAUUUUAGUUCCCCUGGUUUGGCACUUAUAGAACCGAAUGCUAGCUCCCUGGUGGCCGUACGCAUGAACCAAAACCGCGAAUUGACUUCAGGGGGACUUAGCCACAAAUGUCCUGGAACUAUUUUUG